GAGUGUCUGGGCACCGCCCUCCUUCCAUUCUGGCACGCACGGCCUCUGUCCUGAGGUCUUCCCUCCGCGGCACGUGCAUUCUGGGAGGCGGUGGUGGCUCCUCUUGGCAGUUCUCCUGAGACACGCGUCCCUGAUCCACCGGCUUGCCCAGCUCCCUGGCCCGUUCUUCCUUGACACCAUCCCCUCCCCUUCCCACACCUCCCACUCAGUUCCAGACCCUGGCAGUAACUCCGGCCGCCUCGUCUCUUCCAGGGAACUGAAGUACGUGAUUCAGAGGUUCGCCGAAGACCCCAGGCAAGAGGUCCACUCGUGCCUGCUGAGCGUGCGGGCCGGCAAAGACGGCUGGUUCCAGCUCUACAGCCCCGGAGGGGUGGCCUGCGACGAUGACGGGGAGCUGUUCGCCAGCAUGGUAUGCAGUGGGACCCCAGUGGGGCGAUUUCCAGGGGGCCCUGGGCUUGCCAUGCCUGACUAGUAAAACAGCCGUCCCCCAUCUCCUGGGGCCAGCCCCGGAGUUUCCAGGCCAACACAAUGCUGAUCAUGAAGGUGGUGGUGGUGGUGGUGGUGGUGGUGGUGGUGGUGGUGGUGACCGUGACUGUCACUUACUCAUUUCUUAUCUGAGGCUCCAAGCCAAGCACUUGGCAUUCCCAGUUGCACUCAGUCUCUCACAGCACAGUGAGAAGAGGACACAUGUCAUUGCCCCAUUUUAUACCCAAGGCAGCUAAAGCCUGGGCCGUUACUGCCUAAGGUCACACAGUUCAUUGUCAUGGUUAUGUUCCUACAAGGAAUUGAGUGCCCAACGGGACUAGGGAUUCUGGAAGGCACUGCAGCUCCACCAGCUUGUUUAAUCCUUACAAGGAGGUGUCACAGUCAGGGUGAUUGUUCCCACUAUCAUGAGGGGUCUGAGGUCAGCAAACCAAUAGCUGCAUCCAUGAUAACUUUCUUUGUGCCCAGCACUGUAUCCAGCACUUCAUAUGCACUAUCUUUUUUAAUCUGUACUGCAUCCUUGUUGCUGAAUUACACCUCUGUUGAAACAGAGGCCCACAGAGGUUCGGUGGCAUGCCUGGGGUCCCACAGGCCUUCUGUUUCCAAGCCCUUCCUUGGCCAGGCCCACCUGCCUUCUUCCAGGAGUAAAGGGCCACAGACUCUUCCUCCCCCAGGGCAGAUGCUGCACCCUAGUGGCCGGCAGCCUCACCGACUCCACUUGCUGAGAAAACCCGCUCCAUUUGCUGGUCACUGGUGCUCCCACACUCAAACUGGGCUUCCAGUCGCAGCUCUGCUGGGAGCUAGCUUGUUGACCUUGGGCUGGUAACUUGCCUCUGCCAGCUUCAGUCCCUCGUCCGGGAGCGUCGCAUUGGCCUCUCGAGGUUACCGUAGCGAUUGCACGCGACAGCAGAUGCACGGCGCCCGGCAGGCCAGCACAGUCACUUCUCGGAAAUGACGCCGGUGGUGAUUCUCCUCUCUGCUGGGUGGCUGGUUUGGCUCUCCACACUGAACUCAGCAGAGAUGUUUGUGCAGCGAUGACAAAUUGAGGCGCUGCCCCUGGAAGCUUCUUGAAAAGGGCUUAUUUUUAGGACCUUUGCCUCAUGCACUCCCUCUCCACUCCUC
RNAcentral lists this small RNA (1605 nucleotides) under Pongo abelii (Sumatran orangutan). Its description in RNAcentral is "retained intron". Lineage: Eukaryota; Metazoa; Chordata; Mammalia; Primates; Hominidae. The record is from RNAcentral.